RNAcentral lists this ribosomal RNA (491 nucleotides) under uncultured bacterium. Its description in RNAcentral is "partial 16S ribosomal RNA". It matches the Rfam family "Bacterial small subunit ribosomal RNA", at positions 28 to 507 of the family's 1533-position model. The record is from RNAcentral.
GAUGAGCGCUGGCUACAGGCUUAACACAUGCAAGUCGAGGGGAAACGGCGGGGAAGCUGGCUUCCCCGUGCGGCGAGCGGCGCACGGGUGAGUAACGCGUAUCCAACCUGCCUCUGACUGAGGGAUAACCCGACAAAAGUCGGCCUAAUACCUCAUGUCAUCGGCUGCAGGCAUCCAACGACGAUUAAAGAUGUCAUCGGUCAGGGAUGGGGAGGCGUCGGAUUAGCUUGGUGGCGGGGUAACGGCCCACCAAGGCUACGAUCAGUAGGGGUUCUGAGAGGCAGGUCCCCCACAUUGGAACUGAGACACGGUCCAAACUCGUACGGGACGCAGCAGUGAGGAAUAGUGGGCAAUGGGCGGGAGCCUGAACCAGCCAAGUAGAGUGCAGGAUGACGGCCCUAUGGGUUGUAAUCUGCUUUUAUGCGGGGAUAAAGUGAGGGACGUGUCCUUCAUUGCAGGUACCGCAUGAAUAAGAACCGGCUAAUUCCGUG